UACAGAGAUGGCGAGCGUUACUCGGAUUUAUUGGGUGUAAAGGGCAGGUAGGUGUUUUGCCAAGUUGUAAGUGAAAUCCUAAGGCUUAACCUUAGAACUGCUUACAAAACUGGCAAAAUUGAGAUUGGUAGAGGAAAGCGGAAUUCCCGGUGUAAGGGUGAAAUCUGUAGAUAUCGGGAGGAACACCAGUGGCGAAAGCGGCUUUCUGGACCAAUUCUGACGCUAAGCUGCGAAAGCUCGGGGAG
This 245-nucleotide ribosomal RNA is filed under the name uncultured bacterium. RNAcentral describes it as "partial 16S ribosomal RNA". It matches the Rfam family "Bacterial small subunit ribosomal RNA", at positions 524 to 768 of the family's 1533-position model. The record is from RNAcentral.